GAUGAACGCUGGCGGCGUGCCUAAUACAUGCAAGUCGAGCGAACAGACGAGGAGCUUGCUCCUCUGACGUUAGCGGCGGACGGGUGAGUAACACGUGGAUAACCUACCUAUAAGACUGGGAUAACUUCGGGAAACCGGAGCUAAUACCGGAUAACAUGUUGAACCGCAUGGUUCAACAGUGAAAGACGGUUUUGCUGUCACUUAUAGAUGGAUCCGCGUCGCAUUAGCUAGUUGGUAAGGUAACGGCUUACCAAGGCAACGAUGCGUAGCCGACCUGAGAGGGUGAUCGGCCACACUGGAACUGAGACACGGUCCAGACUCCUAAGGGAGGCAGCAGUAGGGAAUCUUCCGCAAUGGGCGAAAGCCUGACGGAGCAACGCCGCGUGAGUGAAGAAGGUCUUCGGAUCGUAAAACUCUGUUAUUAGGGAAGAACAAAUGUGUAAGUAACUAUGCACGUCUUGACGGUACCUAAUCAGAAAGCCACGGCUAACUACGUG
This 497-nucleotide ribosomal RNA is filed under the name uncultured bacterium. RNAcentral describes it as "partial 16S ribosomal RNA". It matches the Rfam family "Bacterial small subunit ribosomal RNA", at positions 28 to 507 of the family's 1533-position model. The record is from RNAcentral.